AGUUACUAGUAAUCGCAGAUCAGAAUGCUGCGGUGAAUGCGUUCCCGGGUCUUGUACACACCGCCCGUCACACCACGGAAGUUGGGGGCGCCCGAAGCCACUUAGCUAACCCUUUUGGGAAGCGAGUGUCGAAGGUGAAAUCAAUAACUGGGGUGAAGUCGUAACAAGGUACC
This 173-nucleotide ribosomal RNA is filed under the name uncultured bacterium. RNAcentral describes it as "partial 16S ribosomal RNA". It matches the Rfam family "Bacterial small subunit ribosomal RNA", at positions 1330 to 1500 of the family's 1533-position model. The record is from RNAcentral.